UACGUAGGGUGCGAGCGUUAAUCGGAAUUACUGGGCGUAAAGCGUGCGCAGGCGGUUUUGUAAGACAGAUGUGAAAUCCCCGGGCUUAACCUGGGAACUGCAUUUGUGACUGCAAGACUAGAGUGCGGCAGAGGGGGGUAGAAUUCCACGUGUAGCAGUGAAAUGCGUAGAUAUCAGGAGGAAUACCGAUGGCGAAGGCAGGUCUCUGGGCUGACACUGACGCUCAUGCACGAAAGCGUGGGGAGCAAACAGG
This 253-nucleotide ribosomal RNA is filed under the name uncultured bacterium. RNAcentral's name for it is "partial 16S ribosomal RNA". It matches the Rfam family "Bacterial small subunit ribosomal RNA", at positions 524 to 776 of the family's 1533-position model. The record is from RNAcentral.